CACGUAGGGUGCGAGCGUUGUCCAGAAUUAUUGGGCGUAAAGAGCUCGUAGGCGGUGUGUCGCGUCGGCCGUGAAAACCUGCAGCUUAACUGUGGGCUUGCGGUCGAUACGGGCAUCACUGGAGUUCGGCAGGGGAGACUGGAAUUCCUGGUGUAGCGGUGAAAUGCGCAGAUAUCAGGAGGAACACCGGUGGCGAAGGCGGGUCUCUGGGCUGAUACUGACGCUGAGGAGCGAAAGCGUGGGGAGCGAACAGG
Molecule: ribosomal RNA, 254 nt
Filed under: uncultured bacterium
Lineage: Bacteria
Description: partial 16S ribosomal RNA
Rfam family: Bacterial small subunit ribosomal RNA
Source: RNAcentral